GGAAGAACCAAAGGGAGUGACAGAUUUAGGGAAGGUAAUCAGGUAGGAAGAACCAAAGGGAGUGACAGAUUUAGGGAAGGUAAUCAGGUAGGAAGAACCAAAGGGAGUGACAGAUUUAGGGAAGGUAAUCAGACAGGAAGAACCAAAGGGAGUGACAGAUUUAGGGAAGGUAAUCAGACAGGAAGAACCAAAGGGAGUGACAGAUUUAGGGAAGGUAAUCAGACAGGAAGAACCAAAGGGAGUGACAGAUUUAGGGAAGGUAAUCAGGUAGGAAGAACCAAAGGGAGUGACAGAUUUAGGGAAGGUAAUCAGGUAGGAAGAACCAAAGGGAGUGACAGAUUUAGGGAAGGUAAUCAGACAGGAAGAACCAAAGGGAGUGACAGAUUUAGGGAAGGUAAUCAGGUAGGAAGAACCAAAGGGAGUGACAGAUUUAGGGAAGGUAAUCAGGUAGGAAGAACCAAAGGGAGUGACAGAUUUAGGGAAGGUAAUCAGGUAGGAAGAACCAAAGGGAGUGACAGAUUUAGGGAAGGUAAUCAGGUAGGAAGAACCAAAGGGAGUGACAGAUUUAGGGAAGGUAAUCAGACAGGAAGAACCAAAGGGAGUGACAGAUUUAGGGAAGGUAAUCAGACAGGAAGAACCAAAGGGAGUGACAGAUUUAGGGAAGGUAAUCAGACAGGAAGAACCAAAGGGAGUGACAGAUUUAGGGAAGGUAAUCAGACAGGGAAGAACCAAAGGGAGUGACAGAUUUAGGGAAGGUAAUCAGACAGGAAGAACCAAAGGGGAGUGACAGAUUUAGGGAAGGUAAUCAGACAGGAAGAACCAAAGGGGAGUGACAGAUUUAGGGAAG
This 847-nucleotide long non-coding RNA is filed under the name Salmo salar (Atlantic salmon). RNAcentral describes it as "lncRNA (ENSSSAG00000095461.1)". Lineage: Eukaryota; Metazoa; Chordata; Actinopteri; Salmoniformes; Salmonidae. The record is from RNAcentral.